Molecule: ribosomal RNA, 215 nt
Filed under: uncultured bacterium
Lineage: Bacteria
Description: partial 16S ribosomal RNA
Rfam family: Bacterial small subunit ribosomal RNA
Source: RNAcentral
AUCCCAGUUCGGAUUGCAGGCUGAAACCCGCCUGUAUGAAGUUGGAAUCGCUAGUAAUCGCGGAUCAGCAUGCCGCGGUGAAUACGUUCCCGGGCCUUGUACACACCGCCCGUCACACCAUGAGAGUCGGGAACACCCGAAGUCCGUAGCCUAACCGCAAGGGGGCGCGGCCGAAGGUGGGUUCGAUAAUUGGGGUGAAGUCGUAACAAGGUAUC